Tachysurus fulvidraco (yellow catfish) is the source of this 824-nucleotide long non-coding RNA. RefSeq lists it as uncharacterized. The record is from RefSeq and is a predicted model, not a curated record. NCBI's taxonomy places the organism in Eukaryota, Metazoa, Chordata, Actinopteri, Siluriformes, Bagridae. The transcript is spliced from 3 exons.
GUGUGUGUGUGUGUGUGUGUGUGUGUGUGUGUGUGUAAGAAGUGAUUCUGCAUACGAUAUUAAAAAGGAACGGCAAAUUAUGCACUCAAAAAAUGGUUUUGCAGCACUGUUUGUUUUACCCAAAUAUGUUUUGUUAAAAUAACACACAUACAUUUCAUUCCCCAUCAAAACACUAUUGUAUUGCGUUUAAUCAACUUAAAAUGUGUCAUGUUCCACUAUGCUUAAUAAUCAGUCGUUAAACUAACGUAAAGCGUUUAAUUUCGCGAUUCAAAAAACCGGAAGUGACGAUUUCCAACGUAUUGGAUGGAGACGGCGCGAAAGAGGGAAGAUGGUGAAUGGUGUCAGACGAGGUUUUUGGAAAGCACUUUGAAACGACUGAUGACAUCGAAGUGAGGAGAGUGUGUAUAAUCGAAGCUCUUUGUGCCUACCUAAAUGAAGAACCUACCAGACUGUUUCAGGAGUGUUUUGAUACAGACAAUGCCACUGCAGAGGAGGCGAUCCAGGAUAUAUGGCAUUUAAUAAUUGUUAGACAUCGUUACACUACCAUCUGGACAUUUUGGUUGCAUGUUUGAUUUCUUUCUUUUUUUUUUUUUUACUUCUUGUAAAUGUAUUUUAUUUAAUUGUAGUUAUCUUAUUAGCCGAGUUUUAAUUUUCACCUUCUGACUUUGUUUUUGAAUCAAAAGACUGCAAAGUUAUUUUAGAUAAUCUUAUAUUUUGCAUGAGAAUUUUGCACAUGUUCAAAGACUCUUUAAUAUAUUGACUGAGCAGGCUGUUUAAAACACUGUUUAUUGCAAGUUUGGCAAAUACAGCUUCAUAAAUUGUUA